Molecule: non-coding RNA, 89 nt
Organism: Trichoderma citrinoviride
Lineage: Eukaryota; Fungi; Ascomycota; Sordariomycetes; Hypocreales; Hypocreaceae
Source: the annotation of a RefSeq genome assembly
CUCGGAGUGGUCUAGUUGGUUCAUGGCGUUCGACUGUAAUGGAUAUUCAUCUCAUCGAAAAGUCGGCGGUUCGAUUCCGUCCUCUGAGA